UAGCGGAGGAAAAGAAACCAACAGGGAUUGCCCCAGUAAUGGCGAAUGAAGCGGCAAGAGCCCAAAUUUGAAAUCGGGCAACCGAGUUGUAAUUUGGAGACGGGACACUAGAGAGGAGGAAGGCGAUUAAGUGCCUUGGAACAGGCUGCCGUAGAGGGUGAGAGCCCCGUGAAUCGCUGGAGACCGAUCAAUUAGUGCCCGCCGAAGAGUCGAGUUGUUUGGGAAUGCAGCUCUAAGUGGGUGGUAUAUUCCAUCUAAGGCUAAAUAUUAGCGAGAGACCGAUAGCAAACAAGUACAGUGAUGGAAAGAUGAAAAGAACUUUGGAAAGAGAGUGAAAUAGUACGUGAAAUUGUUGAAAGGGAAGGGUAUUUGAUCCGACAUGGUGUUUAGCAGCGGCCCGUUCCUCGUGGAUGGGUGCACCUGGUUUACACUGGGCCAGCAUCGGUUCUGGGAGCCAUAUACGGGGUUCGUGAAUGUGGCCCUUCGAUUCUGUCGGAGGGUGUUAUAGCGCGGGCAUCUUGUGGCUAGCCGGGACCGGGGACUGCGGUGACUUGUCACCAAGGAUGCUGGCAGAACGAGCAAAUACCACCCGUCUUGA
This 598-nucleotide ribosomal RNA is filed under the name Brettanomyces bruxellensis. RNAcentral's name for it is "eukaryotic LSU rRNA". It matches the Rfam family "Eukaryotic large subunit ribosomal RNA", at positions 48 to 657 of the family's 3401-position model. The record is from RNAcentral. Lineage: Eukaryota; Fungi; Ascomycota; Pichiomycetes; Pichiales; Pichiaceae.